Oncorhynchus nerka (sockeye salmon) is the source of this 672-nucleotide long non-coding RNA. RefSeq lists it as uncharacterized. NCBI's taxonomy places the organism in Eukaryota, Metazoa, Chordata, Actinopteri, Salmoniformes, Salmonidae. The transcript has 3 exons. The record is from RefSeq and is a predicted model, not a curated record.
GUGUCAGAAUUGUUCACUUCUCUCAUUGACUUCUCAAGACCAGGCUUGGUGUGCUUCACAAGCCUUCUCUGAAGUCUCGCGUUGUUACGUCUCUGUGUUUAGAAACUGGUAGUGGGGGAACAGGAAGUUCCGCGCAGGCGCACAUCAUUCUUCAGUAUAAAGGAUACGCCAAAUUGUGCAGACGACAACUUCUAUGUCCGUUUCUAAUGUAUGUCUACUGACCGACUCAGAUAAAGUCUGAGGCCGGUAACAUCAACAGUGAAGACAAACCCAGCCUGCCACUCUCCUUCCACACUGAGUCCAAACCCACAGUCACUGGGUCCUGAUUGUGACAGUGGAGCCCAGUUUGCACUGCAGGAUCCAGAGAUGGCAUCAGUGAAGCUGGAAGACUGCAGUCAAACACUGGAGCUGAAUGUCAACAUUAAAGAUGAAGAAGAGGAGGAGAAGAUUGGGAAAUCUGUUAAUCAUGGUAUGACGCCGUUAACAUCAACAGUGACGACAAACCCAGCCUGCCUCUCUCCUUCCACACUGAGUCCAAACCUACAGUCACUGGGUCCUGAUUGUGACAGUGGAGCCCAGUUUGCACUGCAGGAUCCAGAGAUGGCAUCAGUGAAGCUGGAAGACUGCAGUCAAACACUGGAGCUGAAUGUCAACAUUAAAGAUGAAGAAGAG